RNAcentral lists this ribosomal RNA (450 nucleotides) under uncultured bacterium. RNAcentral describes it as "partial 16S ribosomal RNA". It matches the Rfam family "Bacterial small subunit ribosomal RNA", at positions 354 to 796 of the family's 1533-position model. The record is from RNAcentral.
GUGGGGAAUUUUGGACAAUGGGCGAAAGCCUGAUCCAGCCAUGCCGCGUGCAGGAUGAAGGCCUUCGGGUUGUAAACUGCUUUUGUACGGAACGAAAAGACUCCUUCUAAUAAAGAGGGCUCAUGACGGUACCGUAAGAAUAAGCACCGGCUAACUACGUGCCAGCAGCCGCGGUAAUACGUAGGGUGCGAGCGUUAAUCGGAAUUACUGGGCGUAAAGCGUGCGCAGGCGGUUAUAUAAGACAGAUGUGAAAUCCCCGGGCUCAACCUGGGAACUGCAUUAGUGACUGUAUAGCUGGAGUGCGGCAGAGGGGGAUGGAAUUCCGCGUGUAGCAGUGAAAUGCGUAGAUAUGCGGAGGAACACCGAUGGCGAAGGCAAUCCCCUGGGCCUGCACUGACGCUCAUGCACGAAAGCGUGGGGAGCAAACAGGAUUAGAAACCCGGGUAGUCC